This 397-nucleotide ribosomal RNA is filed under the name uncultured bacterium. RNAcentral describes it as "partial 16S ribosomal RNA". It matches the Rfam family "Bacterial small subunit ribosomal RNA", at positions 523 to 918 of the family's 1533-position model. The record is from RNAcentral.
AUACGUAGGGGGCGAGCGUUGUCCGGAAUGAUUGGGCGUAAAGGGCGCGUAGGCGGUCAUUUAAGUUAUCUGUGAAAUCCCAGGUUUUAAGCGUGGGCCUGCAGGUAAAACUGGAUGACUUGAGUGCAGGAGAGGAAAGUGGAAUUCCAAGUGUAGCGGUGAAAUGCGUAGAGAUUUGGAGGAACACCAGUGGCGAAGGCGACUUUCUGGACUGUAACUGACGCUGAGGCGCGAAAGUGUGGGGAGCAAACAGGAUUAGAUACCCUGGUAGUCCACACUGUAAACGAUGAAUGCUAGGUGUAAGAGGUAUCGACCCCUUUUGUGCCGGAGUCAACACAAUAAGCAUUCCGCCUGGGGAGUACGGCCGCAAGGUUGAAACUCAAAUGAAUUGGCGGGG